GCCUGGGUGGCUCAGUCAGUUAAGCAUCUGACUUCGGCUCAGGUCAUGAUCUCACACUUCAUGGUUUCGAGCCCCACCUCAGGUU
Felis catus (domestic cat) is the source of this 85-nucleotide non-coding RNA. Lineage: Eukaryota; Metazoa; Chordata; Mammalia; Carnivora; Felidae. The record is from Rfam.